This 55-nucleotide ribosomal RNA is filed under the name Fusarium sacchari. RNAcentral's name for it is "partial small subunit ribosomal RNA". The record is from RNAcentral. Lineage: Eukaryota; Fungi; Ascomycota; Sordariomycetes; Hypocreales; Nectriaceae.
GUAACUUAAUUCAGCGGGUAUUCCUACAGGAUCCGAGGCGGACUUCCAAAUCCCA